CAUGGCUCAGGAUGAACGCUAGCGGGAGGCCUAACACAUGCAAGCCGAGCGGUAGAGAUUCUUCGGAAUCUUGAGAGCGGCGUACGGGUGCGGAACACGUGUGCAACCUGCCUUUAUCAGGGAGAUAGCCUUUCGAAAGGAAGAUUAAUACCCCAUAAUAUAUUAAGUGGCAUCACUUGAUAUUGAAAACUACGGUGGAUAGAGAUGGGCACGCGCAAGAUUAGAUAGUUGGUAGGGUAACGGCCUACCAAGUCUACGAUCUUUAGGGGGCCUGAGAGGGUGAUCCCCCACACUGGUACUGAGACACGGACCAGACUCCUACGGGAGGCAGCAGUGAGGAAUAUUGGACAAUGGGUGCAAGCCUGAUCCAGCCAUCCCGCGUGAAGGACGACGGCCCUAUGGGUUGUAAACUUCUUUUGUAUAGGGAUAAACCUAGAUACGUGUAUCUAGCUGAAGGUACUAUACGAAUAAGCACCGGCUAACUCCGUCCAGCAGCCGCGGUAAUACGGAGGGUGCAAGCGUUAUCCGGAUUUAUUGGGUUUAAAGGGUCCGUAGGCGGAUCUGUAAGUCAGUGGUGAAAUCUCACAGCUUAACUGUGAAACUGCCAUUGAUACUGCAGGUCUUGAGUGUUGUUGAAGUAGCUGGAAUAAGUAGUGUAGCGGUGAAAUGCAUAGAUAUUACUUAGAACACCAAUUGCGAAGGCAGGUUACUAAGCAACAACUGACGCUGAUGGACGAAAGCGUGGGGAGCGAACAGGAUUAGAUACCCUGGUAGUCCACGCCGUAAACGAUGCUAACUCGUUUUUGGAUUUUCGGAUUCAGAGACUAAGCGAAAGUGAUAAGUUAGCCACCUGGGGAGUACGUUCGCAAGAAUGAAACUCAAAGGAAUUGACGGGGGCCCGCACAAGCGGUGGAUUAUGUGGUUUAAUUCGAUGAUACGCGAGGAACCUUACCAAGGCUUAAAUGGGAAAUGACAGGUUUAGAAAUAGACUUUUCUUCGGACAUUUUUCAAGGUGCUGCAUGGUUGUCGUCAGCUCGUGCCGUGAGGUGUUAGGUUAAGUCCUGCAACGAGCGCAACCCCUGUCACUAGUUGCCAUCAUUAAGUUGGGGACUCUAGUGAGACUGCCUACGCAAGUAGAGAGGAAGGUGGGGAUGACGUCAAAUCAUCACGGCCCUUACGCCUUGGGCCACACACGUAAUACAAUGGCCAGUACAGAGGGCAGCUACACAGCGAUGUGAUGCAAAUCUCGAAAGCUGGUCUCAGUUCGGAUUGGAGUCUGCAACUCGACUCUAUGAAGCUGGAAUCGCUAGUAAUCGCGCAUCAGCCAUGGCGCGGUGAAUACGUUCCCGGGCCUUGUACACACCGCCCGUCAAGCCAUGGAAGUCUGGGGUACCUGAAGUCGGUGACCGUAACAGGAGCUGCCUAG
This 1426-nucleotide ribosomal RNA is filed under the name Chryseobacterium rhizosphaerae. RNAcentral's name for it is "16S ribosomal RNA". It matches the Rfam family "Bacterial small subunit ribosomal RNA". The record is from RNAcentral. Lineage: Bacteria; Pseudomonadati; Bacteroidota; Flavobacteriia; Flavobacteriales; Weeksellaceae.